UUAGGAGGUUAUAGUGGCGGGGUUCCACCUCUUCCCAUUCCGAACAGAGAAGUUAAGCACGCCCGCGCCGAUGGUACUGCAUACCCGUGGGAGAGUAGGUAGCCGCCGUUU
RNAcentral lists this ribosomal RNA (111 nucleotides) under Candidatus Physcousia equi. The record is from RNAcentral. Lineage: Bacteria; Pseudomonadati; Bacteroidota; Bacteroidia; Bacteroidales; Paludibacteraceae.